Molecule: long non-coding RNA, 555 nt
Organism: Triticum aestivum (bread wheat)
Lineage: Eukaryota; Viridiplantae; Streptophyta; Magnoliopsida; Poales; Poaceae
Exons: 3
Source: RefSeq, a predicted model, not a curated record
GGCCAAACAACAAGGCCUGAGCUUCAGCUUCCUCAGCUUCAGUACAUCCAUGAAAGCAGCAGCCCGCUGAGAAGACCACCGCACCCGAACUAUCUCUGCCAAUAGCUCCGAGCGCAGCUAAACCAGAAGCUGGGCAUAAGCUCAAGUUUUGCAAUAGCCAAUCAGGGGAGAAAAGCAAGAGCGACUUAACUUCAGGUACCAUCCAGCUCAAGUGUCCUCUUGUGCUUAUUUUCCUUUGGUUGUUUCUUUUGGUUGUGACGUCCACAACAAGAGUAUACAUGGACAGGAUAUUUUUUGAUUGAGACUAAUGGAAGAAGCCUUAUUGGUUACUACUUCUCAUUAUCAAGGCCGCCGGAGAUUUAUGUGUGCGUGAUCAGGUUUAAAUGGUGGUGUUUGCUGCCCUUGAGAAACAUUGGAUCGGGGCGGCCGGCCAGGAAAUCGUGUUUAAUUACUUUAAGUAUUUAAAUUCUAAUGAUUACUUGCUAAGUUAAAGCUUGGGAUCAGAUUUACUUCCUUAGGUGGUGGUCGAGAGUUAGAGAUAAAGAAGUUUUUGAU